This is a long non-coding RNA of Eriocheir sinensis (Chinese mitten crab), 1254 nucleotides long. RefSeq lists it as uncharacterized. The transcript is spliced from 2 exons. The record is from RefSeq and is a predicted model, not a curated record. Lineage: Eukaryota; Metazoa; Arthropoda; Malacostraca; Decapoda; Varunidae.
CGUUGGUUGCCUUCAGUCACACGAAUGUUUCACCACCAAAAGGUUUCAAGUGUUAAUCUCGAGUCGGAAAUUCUACUUCAAGCUGAGAGAGUGAUCCGAUUACUGCUGUCGGUAACUUUUAUAUUAUUUUCUCUUUUGAAGUUGCGAUCGUGUUCCCGCUCCGCCGUGACGUUCAUGUUGACACAGGAAUUUGCAAGUUUUCUUUUUCUCCUUCGUUAAGCAUUAUUUCCUUUUUAAAACGAAAUGAACUUAAGAAAUAAAAGAUAUAAUGACAUAACAUACCCACUUUUUAGGUCUUGAAAAAAGAAAAUCAACACUAGCACCACCACUACCACCACCACCAUCACCACCACCACCGACUCUGGCAUCAUCCCAUUGUUAGUGUUGCAAUCACGCGAACAGAAAAUACAAGUGCAAUGUCGUAAUGGGGAAAAGGAGGCGACGUGUCGGCGAAGUUACUGCCGGACUAAUCAGCGACACCAACGACAGCACACGCACAAAAAGGCAAACAAACAAACAAGCAAACAUACAAACAAGAAAACAAACACAAGGAGCUCCACCUCCACUACCACCACCACCAACACCACCACCAACACCACCUCUCCUUGCCCCUCAUCAAGAGCAACACGAGCGGCGGCCACAGAACUAUCGAGGCACGAGGAAGCAGACCACGCCGUUGGUAAAGCUUACUGAUGCAUCCAUUCUCGAGCUCACCGGCGUCAGCAAGAAACUAAACAUCCCCGCGAGGGUUUACAGCGUGUAGCAGCGCACGUUGGUUUCAGGCUCAGGGCAGACAACUUCAGGAAACAGUCUGCUGAUAUUACUAUUUUCCUGAUGCAUCAAGAUCCAAAGUAUUUAUUUUAUAAUUAUAUACAGUUUCGAUUUAUUUAUAUAAAAGUAACUGAUAUUUCUAAGCAUAAAUUAUUAUUUAUUUCUACAAAGAGAACGGCCAGCCGAUUAUAUGUAAAUAUUUGUUUUCUUUUGAAGAGGCCGAUACGGAAAGAUAAGGCGUACGACACAACCACAUGUCAAUUGGCAAUAUUACGCCUUUGUUGUUGAACGCUAUAAAUAUAUGAAUAACAUGAAUAACAUUACCCAGCAAAAGCGUUAGAAUAAAAAAUAAAUCAACAACCACAGCCCACGGCGCUGAGAUAACAAAGAGGAGCGAUGAGCCGGCGUGACCAGACUAACACCGGCGUGGCCGAGAAGGUGCGGGCAGGCAGGUGUAGCAAACAAUAAAACUCCCCUCCCUUC